CCGGAUUUGAGCCGCCCAGGGUUGAUUUUGAGAUAUGAGCUAACAGCAAAGAGCAGCUGCUCUUUUAAGGCAAGCAGCAAAAUUGUUGAAUGUCAAAACAAGUGACAGGAGUACACAAUACCAGCACCUGCAUCAGUAGCCUCUGUCAGAAGCACUAGUGCUGCAAAGGCAAUUUUUGCUCCCGACAGUAAAAGAAGGAGGCAUGGACAUGCAAAUACAAGAACUGUGGCAGUGCCAGCACUAGACUAUUAUACCCAGGAGUAAUAAGGUCCCUGGUUACAACUAAUGACCACCUGUUGAAGGAGCUAGAUGAGACCCGGGAGAGACACCAGCACAGAGGGGAAUCAGAUUAACUGAAGCUACAAGCAGCACAAGAAAAACCUUCAGAGACCAGUCUAGAUGUUCUAAUAAUGAUAAUAGAGUGUGCUUUGUGUUUUAUUGCUAAAAAUUUGGCUGCUCUGUAUCCAAUAUCUGAAGUGGUAUUUUAUUAAGAUUUAGAAAAAAAUAAGGCUUUAUGCAUGUGUGUGAAGUGUCGUCCCAGAUUAGCUUAAGUUGUCCACACAUUGUUAUCUGGGACAACACUUUCAGCCUAGACUGGAUUUUUGUAAUAAAUACUUUCUUUAAACAAAAAAUCUCAUUAAAACCAGAAAGUGUCUUCCCUGAUUAGCCUGUGCGGACCGUACAAGUUAAUCUGCGACGACACUUUAGGAACAUGCAUUAAACCCCAUUUUCCCAGAGCAAGGGUCAAUUGUAUUUAUUUCCUUUCAUUAUUCGCAACCCCUUUAUUUAAGGAUCAUACUGAUUCUAAAUGCCUAUUUAUUAAGCUCAAUAUUCAGUCAUAACCAAAAAGUGUCAUAAGAUCUUUGUUAAGACAGGACCCUGAAUUCUAGCAUUUAAUGAGGUUAUGUGCUUUUCCGCACUUAUUCUAUGUCUUUUAUAAGUAAAAGGUGAACACUAGCAACAAUAUAAUUUGCUACCAAAAAUGUUUACCAUAAAUUACUUCUUUUACAUGAAAGAAGUUGACGUGUGUAAAAAAAGUUUGGCAAACAAACUGACAGGUAACAAUCAGUUUAUUUAUUGUGCAUCCAGGCAUUUACAUAUAACCAGACAGUAGUGCAAUCUCACAUGUAUAUGUAGGUUUUUAACUUAUAUUGCACCAGUUUAUAGAUUGUUUUGAAAACAAAUGUAUGAUCAUGGUAAAGUUACGUAUGUCUAGUCAUAAGCAGUAUGUGUGUGAUACACUAGCAACAGCACCGGAGGAAUCAUUUUGUUUUCAGAUGAUCAGUCUUCGAAAUUAGCUUUGAAAAGUUACAUGCCAGUCGGGCCAGUUACUUAAGAAUUUUUACAUGCCCAACAUAUUUUUUACAUGCCCAAACUUUUUAAUCAAAAUUAUAACAAAUCACAACAUUUUAACACUUACAUGCUACACAUAGUAAAGCAGAACAUUGUUUUCAAUAGUAGUGAAUACAAUUACAUCUAAUCAGUCACUAGAAUUAAGACGGUCGAUCGUUACACCAGUGCUCUUGAAAAGAGCGUUCUCUGGUGUCCUCGUACCAUUUCUUGGCUUCCUUUUUCUCUAAAUCAUUGUCAAUUUUCUAUUUUAUAAGUGCUUUAUCGGGCUUAGCCCCAUCAACAUACCUAAGAUACUGCAUAGCCUCUAUGUCGACAAUGGCAUUUGUUUACAUUGACAAAAACGGAAGCGUAUUACUUGAUUGAAAUGAUCGAUUCAAAAAGCAUCUUCUCGAUUAAUGUCUAGAUAAACCGUCGAUAAGAACCGAAUGUGACCGAACUGCAUCGGUCAAAAACAAUAACGAUGACGUGUGCAAGCAGGUGCAUGUUGUUAAACCAAUGGAAUUUCAUUGUUUUACAACUUACGGCAAGGUGUUUGUUAGCAAAAUUGAAAUAAAUAUCUGCAAAUAUCAAGAACCGCUUACGAUUUUUUUUAUAAACUGUCAAUAGGCUUCAAUAAUUUACAUGCCCGGCGGGCCACAAACGUGAAUUUUUGUAUGUGCCCGGCAGUAAUUUUACUCGCCACGGGCGAUCGGGCGUGUGCUAAUUUCGAAGACUGGAUGAUGUUUAUGUAAUGUGUGUU
This is a long non-coding RNA of Dreissena polymorpha, 2092 nucleotides long. RefSeq lists it as uncharacterized. The transcript has 3 exons. The record is from RefSeq and is a predicted model, not a curated record. Lineage: Eukaryota; Metazoa; Mollusca; Bivalvia; Myida; Dreissenidae.